RNAcentral lists this ribosomal RNA (489 nucleotides) under uncultured Nakamurella sp. Its description in RNAcentral is "bacterial SSU rRNA". It matches the Rfam family "Bacterial small subunit ribosomal RNA", at positions 1 to 507 of the family's 1533-position model. Lineage: Bacteria; Bacillati; Actinomycetota; Actinomycetes; Nakamurellales; Nakamurellaceae. The record is from RNAcentral.
AGACGUUUGACUCCGUGGACUCAGGACGAACGCUGGCGGCGUGCUUAACACAUGCAAGUCGAACGGAAAGGCCCGCUUGCGGGUACUCGAGUGGCGAACGGGUGAGUAACACGUGGGUAAUCUGCCCUUAGCUUUGGGAUAACGCCUGGAAACGGGUGCUAAUACCGAAUAUUGACCAGGUAUCGCAUGGUGUUUGGUUGAAAGUUUUUUCGGCUAAGGAUGGGCCCGCGGCCUAUCAGCUUGUUGGUGGGGUAAUGGCCUACCAAGGCGACGACGGGUAGCCGGCCUGAGAGGGCGACCGGCCACACUGGAACUGAGACACGGUCCAGACUCCUACGGGAGGCAGCAGUGGGGAAUAUUGCGCAAUGGGCGAAAGCCUGACGCAGCGACGCCGCGUGAGGGAUGAAGGCCUUCGGGUUGUAAACCUCUUUCAGCUCCGACGAAGAGUGAUUGACGGUAGGAGCAGAAGAAGCACCGGCCAACUACGUG